UGCUAUUCGGAUUUUGUUCCUCAUUGCAGCCUCUUCAUUGGGAAAAGUGUGCGGGAUACGAUUUCGAUAAAUGUGCCCCACCCGUGAGCAUGGAAGGAUUUCAACAGAACCACCACAGAGCCAUGCCUGUAACACAGAUGAAGACAAAAAAGGGGUCUAAGAUGGUGUAUCCGCUAUGCGGGCAGUACAUCGCUAUCAACACCAUUUAGCAAAUGACCUUCAGUGCUAUGCAAACAAAACUUCUGCACCACCUGGAAUGGGCUCAGCCAAUCAGGAAACCAGAACCAAGCCAAUCACAACCACCAAACCAGAUCUGGGAGAGCAUUGGAUUGUUAUUGAUUGGAACUCAUGCAAAGAUUCAGACAUCAGAAAGGCUGUAUAUAACCUGGGCAGUUGCUGAGUCACUUUCUGUAGCUGAUGAAGUGCUCUCCUACACUAAAGCACUUUCUUUUACAGCUAAAGUGAGUGAGUGACAACUUAAUUAGUGCACAGUGAAGAAGAGAGGUGGGUGUUUCAUGAGUCAGUGAAACUUUGUUUUCUGCUUCACUUUUGUAUAAGGAGGUGAAUAUGGAUUCAGUUUCACAGUUCCUCAUCUGCUUCAUUAAUUCAAGUUUAUUAUAUUAAUGCCUUGCACUUCCAUACCAUCUCAAAGACUUUAGGAAAAAUAAUAAUGUAACUCCCCCCGCCUCCUCACCAUCAGAUAGAUGGCA
Molecule: long non-coding RNA, 710 nt
Organism: Mauremys mutica (yellowpond turtle)
Lineage: Eukaryota; Metazoa; Chordata; Testudines; Geoemydidae
Exons: 3
Source: RefSeq, a predicted model, not a curated record